CAGUUCGGAUUGUAGGCUGAAACUCGCCUACAUGAAGCUGGAGUUACUAGUAAUCGCAGAUCAGAAUGCUGCGGUGAAUGCGUUCCCGGGUCUUGUACACACCGCCCGUCACACCACGGGAGUUGGGGACGCCCGAAGCCGAUUAUCUAACCUUUUGGAAGAAGUCGUCGAAGGUGGAAUCAAUAACUGGGGUGAAGUCGUAACAAGGUAGCCGUAUCGGAAGGUGCGGCUGGAUCACCUCCUUUCUAAGGAGA
RNAcentral lists this ribosomal RNA (254 nucleotides) under Clostridioides difficile. RNAcentral's name for it is "partial 16S ribosomal RNA". It matches the Rfam family "Bacterial small subunit ribosomal RNA", at positions 1289 to 1533 of the family's 1533-position model. The record is from RNAcentral. Lineage: Bacteria; Bacillati; Bacillota; Clostridia; Peptostreptococcales; Peptostreptococcaceae.